Molecule: ribosomal RNA, 696 nt
Filed under: uncultured bacterium
Lineage: Bacteria
Description: bacterial SSU rRNA
Rfam family: Bacterial small subunit ribosomal RNA
Source: RNAcentral
UAACACGUAGGGAACCUGCCUGCAUGAGCGGGAGAACUUCUGGAAACGGAAGCUGAUACCGGAUGAGCAAAGAGGAGGCAUCUUCUUUUUGGAAAAGGGGACAAGAGUCCCGCAUGCAGAUGGACUUGCGGUGCAUUAGCUGGUUGGAGAGGUAACGGCUCACCAAGGCGACGAUGCAUAGCCGGCCUGAGAGGGCGGACGGCCACACUGGGACUGAGACACGGCCCAGACUCCUGCGGGAGGCAGCAGUAGGGAAUUUUCGUCAAUGGGGGGAACCCUGAACGAGCAAUGCCGCGUGAGCGAGGAAGGUCUUCGGAUCGUAAAGCUCUGUUGCCGGGGACAAAAGGCAGAAAGAGUGGAAAGCUUUCUGAGUGAUGGUACCCGGCGAGGAAGUCACGGCUAACUACGUGCCAGCAGCCGCGGUAAUACGUAGGUGGCGAGCGUUAUCCGGAAUGAUUGGGCGUAAAGGGUGCGCAGGCGGCCGGGCAAGUCCGCAGUAAAAACUGGAGGCUCAACCUUCAGGGGCUGCGGAAACUGUCCGGCUGGAGAGCAGGAGAGGACGGUGGAACUCCAUGUGUAGCGGUAAAAUGCGUAGAUAUAUGGAAGAACACCGGUGGCGAAGGCGGCCGUCUGGCCUGCAUCUGACGCUGAGGCACGAAAGCGUGGGGAGCAAAUAGGAUUAGAUACCCUAGUAGU